Cervus elaphus (red deer) is the source of this 928-nucleotide long non-coding RNA. RefSeq lists it as uncharacterized. Lineage: Eukaryota; Metazoa; Chordata; Mammalia; Artiodactyla; Cervidae. The record is from RefSeq and is a predicted model, not a curated record. The transcript has 3 exons.
UCCAGAGGGCCUCGGUACGUCAGGCUCACACAGACCACCUUGUCUGCUGUGUGUGGCCCAGCGUGUAGGCUGCUGUUUGAGAUGUGACCUUCCCGAGCGGCCGGGGUGUGUUUGCUGCUGGACAGCUCGGCCGAGCCCGGUGGGAGCAUGGUGGGGAGGGCAGGGGCUGCGCAGAGCAGAGGCCUGCCCACCGUGGUGUGUGCACAGCCAGGGCACCCCUGGAGGGGACGCAGCGGCCACCUAGAAGAGGCAGGAAGGCUUCCUUCCCAGUGCCUGCAGGUGAGGUGUCAGCACUGCUUUUCCAACUGGAGUAUAAAACACCCUGUGUAGGUCCUGAAAUGGAACUUCUCAUGCAGACUAGCAGGUGUGAACAGAGGUCAUCAAAGCCCUUGUUCAUACUGCUCCCUCGGGGACGACAGGGCUUCUCCCAGUCCCGGGACCCCCUUGCAGGCAGGACGCGCUGGGUUCCUCCGGCCGCGCGGCACCAGCCAGCACCGGGUUUGUGGGCUGGCCUGGCCCUCCGGCCGCAACAUCCUCGUCCCGCGCUGUCUCCUUCUAUAGUCACGGGCAAGCCUCCUGACACUCCUGUGCGGAAUCAUGCAUCAUAAACCAGGAGUCAUGAGCUGGAUGACAACUUGGGAAAGAUCCCUCUCAAGACUCACAACCAGCCCCCUCUCCCCAAGGGUGUGUACGCCCCAAAGUUGGUCUCUGCUCACAGCACGAAGCGUCUCUGGGGUGGACAGAGUCAGUGCAGUGAAAGGAGGCGGCACUGAAUUCGUUUCUCACAAGCGAUUCCUGUUCUUGUAAGCCUUCCUGACACCACCCUCAUGGCAGAAAGUGAAGAACUAAAGAGCCUUUUGAUGAAAGUGAAAGAGGAGAGUGAAAAAGUUGGCUUAAAGCUCAACAUUCAGAAAACUAAGAUCAUGGC